UGUCUGGCGCUUAGACCAUAAGGUCCAAAGGCCGGCUGCGGCCGGCAGUCGAACAGUCGAAGGCGAGCACAGGUGUGCAGUUCGCAGGACGGCAUGGGUGAAGUCAUCACGGUUUGCCGAGCAUGGAAUCACUUCAGCCAAUGAGAAACUGCAGAAAGGUAUGAGAGAUGCCAUCGUCAAAUGCUCUCCUUCAAAACCAGGUCAUCCGAAAGCCGAAUUCCUGUUACUUAAUUUUUGAAAAGACCGUAAGUAUGCAAAAUCAUCAGAAUCUGCUACCUGGAACCAAAUGCAACUCAAUAUUGGAUGAGGUAAACAAUAAUAAUUGACUCGUUAAGUACGUGCACAGAUAUGUAGCAAUGGAUGCGAAUGCCUUACAAUGAGAUAUCGUUCGUGAUCAUUAGGGUGCACAACCAUUUCAAGAACAUUUAAUUCUUUGAUCGCUCUCUUCAAUUUAGUGAAGACAAUAGCAAUGAGUUAAGGCGUAAUCGAAGCAAAAUAUCUUGCAUAUGUAGUAAAGCAAUCGCGUAGAAGGUUGCAACGUUACGUAAGAUUUUUAUGGGGAAAGUGGACCAUUUCGGAACUAUAAGAAAGAAAUCGGUUGUAGGUUUCCACGGAAUAGGGGAAUUUAUGAAAGUACAAGACAGACGUGCGGUGUCCCAUCGAAGCAUCUGCUUCGUAUGUUCUAACCGAUCCCGGGUGAUAGACGUGAGGAUGUCGGGGCCAAUUUCCACGUCGACAAUAUUUGGGACCAGCGACGCCCAGGGAUUUUCGAUAAAGCUCCGCGAUUUCCCGAAUACCGAAUUGCGACACGGCACGGGCCUCGACCGAGCGGCCUCGUGCUACGGAAUGGGCGGCAGGCGUCUUGCGAAAGAUGCUGAUUUUCGAUAACACGAGCUUCGGGUUUCGGGCUACGGUCGGCUUACGGUAUCCGGUGGAGGGACCAGGUUCGAUGUAUCGCGAUGAGCUCGAGAAGGAUCGGGUCGGAGGAAAAUCAGUAAUCGACUUAUUUCCUUGAAGUCACAACAAUUUUUUCCAUGCUUUUUCCUUUGCACGGGGUGAGUGCCGGACGAGUAGGCCUGGCGCACAGGCGCACGUGCGGACGGGUUGAGGACAUUGUAACAUUUCUUUCCUUUUUUAACCAAUAAAACAACGCUUAGUGGACAUUUUAUGGCUAUUACAAUCUGAUAAAUGUUCAAUAAGUAAUUUUGCUCUAGCUGGAUUUAAUUGUGAUAAAAACUGCGACGGAUAUUGGGGCCUCGCACCCCACACCCUGCAAAUUUGGGCUUCGUAAUAUUUUUUGGGGAAAAUGUCGACUUCGGUCGGAAGGUAAAAUUUGAAAUAUCGAAAAAGACGGCUCACUGUAUUUCUUUUCGGGGCAGAUUCCGAAAUGUAAACGACGGACGCCGGUCGAAACGUUUCUUGAUCGAAUUCGAAUAUUCUCGUCACAAAUUAAAAUAAAAGGUUUUCAUUGCACACCGCCAUUUUCUACUACGCGUUCCGAAAACUCGUCUUUGGUUUGUUAAAACUUACAUUUUACCAUUUAAUGUUUAGAACUCUUUCGGUGCAUGGGCAAUUAUUUUUAGCCUCGGCAAUCCGCUUAUAAUAACGUUCGAUACGACGAAAUCGUUUAACUCUUUCGAUACGGCUAUGCCUGUCAUCAAAAUGCGAAUAAUACAAAUACAAAUUGCGUUUACGGAACUACGGUAUGGGCCACUUGCGAUUAAAGUUCACUAUUAUUAAAAAGAAAAUGAAAAAAGAUUUAAAAAAUAAAAAGUGAACGAGAAAAAAAUUCGACUGACGUUGGGAAUCAAUGCAAAAUUUUAGCAUGCAACUAUAGUCACUCGUAGUAUUGAAAGGGUUAAACUACAAUUGUACUAAGGUAAUUAUCUUUCUCCUAAUGCGAUAAACAUUCCGUUGAUAUAUUUCGUUAGUUAAGCCCAGAAAUGUAUAUCGUCAGCAUGGUAAUUACGUUAACUUACGACCGUCUUCGUUCAAUGAUACAAGAAAAACAUGUGUUUUCUUAGGUUAAGC
Long non-coding RNA from Orussus abietinus, 2031 nucleotides. RefSeq lists it as uncharacterized. The record is from RefSeq and is a predicted model, not a curated record. NCBI's taxonomy places the organism in Eukaryota, Metazoa, Arthropoda, Insecta, Hymenoptera, Orussidae. The transcript has 2 exons.